GACGAACGCUGGCGGUAUGCUUAACACAUGCAAGUCGAACGAGACGUUCCUGUCUAGUGGAGCCCGGUUGCGAAAGGGGUAGGAACAUGUCCUUAGGCUCCCAUUAACUCUCCGAAAAGGGUGCUAAUACGGUGUUAUGACUUGGGAUCAACUUGUUAUCGACCUUGGGUGGGCCCGCGUUGUUUUUGCUAGUUGGUAGGGUAAACGCCUACCAAGGCGAUGGUCCAUAGCUGGUCUGAGAGGAUGAUCAGCCGCACUGGGACCGAGACACGGCCCAGACUGCGGCGGGAGGCAGCAGUGGGGAAUAUUGGACAGUGGGCGGAAGCCUGAUCCAGCAAUGCCGCGUGAGUGAUGAAGGGCUUAGAGUUGUAUAGCUCUUUUACCCGGGAUGAUAAUGACAGUACCGGGAGAAUAAGCUCCGGCUAACUCCGUG
Molecule: ribosomal RNA, 433 nt
Filed under: uncultured bacterium
Lineage: Bacteria
Description: partial 16S ribosomal RNA
Rfam family: Bacterial small subunit ribosomal RNA
Source: RNAcentral